AGGUCCUGAUGCAAUGGAAGAAUUUUCAGUCAAGAUCCACUCAAGCCUCUAGAAGAAGAGAGCCAGCAGGACCAGAUGCCAUGCCAGGCUGGAAGCUGGGAAAGCAGAAAGAAACAGUUCACUCCUAAUGAAAAUUGCAAGCCAGACCAAAAAAAGGAAGUAUUUAUGGGUUCUGUUUGGCAUAUUUGAAUCGCCAGCCUCACUAUACUUGCACUUGGUCACAUUAUUAAGCCAGGGAAUGAAGCAGGAAGAUUCACUGUGCUCCAAUGAGGAUCCAGAUUCCAGAUGCGGAAGGGACUCUUUUGGCCAAAAGGUGAAGCUAUAGCUCUCCAAAUACUGCAGGCAGUACAGCUAGAAGUAAGACAUAGGGCAUUUUCUUAGAGAAAGAAGCCAUUUGUAGGGUAAGUAAUAGACUAGCACCCAGUGUCUCUUGAAAUAUAUUUGGAGAACCAUCUAAAUGUCAAAGCAGUAUUGGAUAUCUGAGAGAUAAUCCAGCAGAGCCUGAAUCUAAUGACUUCAAAUGGUAACAAGGACCCUGAAACCAGAACAACACUAGACAGGAACAAUAGCACUGGACUCGAACAGUGUGGGACACAGAGAAGACCGGAAGAGCCAGACUGGGCCAUGAAUUUGCUCCAUAGACAUUGACCAGUGGUCCCUGGCAGGCCUGGGGGUGGAGGUGAGGAGAGACUAUGUGUUUAUAUCAGAACCCGCAAGCUAUGGAUGCACCUGGCUGUCAGCUGUCACCACCUUUCUCUCUGAGUUCUUGUCUGCCCUCUAGUUAAAGCUCUACUUACACACACACACACACAUUGGCAAUUGAAGAGACAGAGAGGGACAGACAGGAGAGGGAGAGGGUAAAUCAAUAGGCAAAUCCAGGCAGUUGUCACUCCAGCAUGCAGUUUCCAUUAUU
This is a long non-coding RNA of Chinchilla lanigera (long-tailed chinchilla), 913 nucleotides long. RefSeq lists it as uncharacterized. Lineage: Eukaryota; Metazoa; Chordata; Mammalia; Rodentia; Chinchillidae. The record is from RefSeq and is a predicted model, not a curated record. The transcript is spliced from 4 exons.